UAGGCCUAACACAUGCAAGUCGAACGGCAGCACGGGUGCUUGCACCUGGUGGCGAGUGGCGAACGGGUGAGUAAUAUAUCGGAACAUACCUUGUAGUGGGGGAUAACGUAGCGAAAGUGACGCUAGUACCGCAUAGGAUCUGAGGAGGAAAGCGGGGGAUCCUCGGACCUCGUGCUAUAAGAGUGGCCGAUAUCUGAUUAGCUAGUUGGUGAGGUAAAGGCUCACCAAGGCGACGAUCAGUAGCUGGUCUGAGAGGACGACCAGCCACACUGGAACUGAGACACGGCCCAGACUCCUACGGGAGGCAGCAGUGGGGAAUUUUGGACGAUGGGGGCAACCCUGAUCCAGCAAUGCCGCGUGAGUGAAGAAGGCCCUCGGGUUUAAAGCAGGGUGUCAGGGAAGAAACGGUGAAUCCUAAUAUGGUUUGCUAAGAC
Molecule: ribosomal RNA, 434 nt
Filed under: uncultured bacterium
Lineage: Bacteria
Description: bacterial SSU rRNA
Rfam family: Bacterial small subunit ribosomal RNA
Source: RNAcentral